GUUUGAACUCUUGACCUCCAGGUUCUAAUGGAAUACCUUUACCGUUACAGUUGAAACAAAACGGUAAAAUUUCAGAGAUGCAUGUACCUUUAUGUGAGAGUAAGAUUUACAUGAGACUAGAAUUUGAGGUGGAUGAAGAAAAGUGAGAAUUUGAAGGAUAGUACGUAUAGUAGAAUUCUUAUAUGCAAUGUUGUUAAAGGUGUGCCUGAAGGCUCACAACGCUCCAAACUUGAUGCCACUAUAGGAGAAAGGUAGGCAACAUCUAUCUAACAGGCACUCGCUUUACAAGCUUAGGACUUAGGUACAUGCCUUAUUUUAGGCACAAGGCUCUAGAAAGGUACACCUUCUUUAUUUUUACCUCCAUCGAGCAUUUCUGUUGGCAAAAGAGACUACCACUAGACUCAAAAUUUGCAGAUCUACUACAAUAUAGUAUUAAUGCACUAGGAAGUCACCAGAAUUAAUGUCGCCGAUGAUAAAAAGUCACAGGAAUAUCAUCAAACUACCACAGACAAGAUCGCAAAUCACCAAUAUUUUUAUUUUCAAUACUCAUGCUCCAUUAGUGUCUCUCCUUGUACCUUAUUUCAAUGUUCUCUCAUUAUCUCUCUCAUCUGUAUAGCUUAAUGGACUUCUCAAUUUCUAGUUUAUCUAAAAUUGUAGCUAUAUGAAAAAGUACCAACAUAUUCACAAGAAGAAUGUAACAGAGAUGUGAAUGUUAAGAUGAAUAUCUGAUAUUACGAUAAUGGAAAAGAUUA
This 752-nucleotide unclassified non-coding RNA is filed under the name Hevea brasiliensis (rubber tree). Lineage: Eukaryota; Viridiplantae; Streptophyta; Magnoliopsida; Malpighiales; Euphorbiaceae. The record is from RNAcentral.